UACGAAGGGUGCAAACGUUGCUCGGAAUUAUUGGGCGUAAAGCGCACGUAGGCGGCUUGGCAAGUCGGAUGUGAAAUCCCUCGGCUCAACCAAGGAAGUGCAUCCGAAAUUGCUGAGCUUGAGUACUUAAGAGGAUCGCGGAAUUCCCGGUGUAGAGGUGAAAUUCGUAGAUAUCGGGAGGAACACCAGUGGCGAAGGCGGCGUCCUGGACCAACACUGACACUGAGGAGCGAAAGCCAGGGGAGCAAACGGG
RNAcentral lists this ribosomal RNA (253 nucleotides) under uncultured bacterium. Its description in RNAcentral is "partial 16S ribosomal RNA". It matches the Rfam family "Bacterial small subunit ribosomal RNA", at positions 524 to 776 of the family's 1533-position model. The record is from RNAcentral.